AGAUUGAACGCUGGCGGCAGGCCUAACACAUGCAAGUCGAGCGGCAGCACGGGUACUUGUACCUGGUGGCGAGCGGCGGACGGGUGAGUAAUGCCUAGGAAUCUGCCUGAUAGUGGGGGAUAACGUUCGGAAACGGACGCUAAUACCGCAUACGUCCUACGGGAGAAAGUGGGGGAUCUUCGGACCUCACGCUAUCAGAUGAGCCUAGGUCGGAUUAGCUAGUUGGUAGGGUAAAGGCCUACCAAGGCUACGAUCCGUAACUGGUCUGAGAGGAUGAUCAGUCACACUGGAACUGAGACACGGUCCAGACUCCUACGGGAGGCAGCAGUGGGGGAAUAGUUGGACAAGUGGGACGAAAGCCUGACU
RNAcentral lists this ribosomal RNA (366 nucleotides) under uncultured soil bacterium. RNAcentral's name for it is "bacterial SSU rRNA". It matches the Rfam family "Bacterial small subunit ribosomal RNA", at positions 26 to 388 of the family's 1533-position model. The record is from RNAcentral.